This 730-nucleotide ribosomal RNA is filed under the name Bacillus pumilus. RNAcentral describes it as "bacterial SSU rRNA". It matches the Rfam family "Bacterial small subunit ribosomal RNA", at positions 555 to 1286 of the family's 1533-position model. Lineage: Bacteria; Bacillati; Bacillota; Bacilli; Caryophanales; Bacillaceae. The record is from RNAcentral.
UGGGCGUAAGGGCUCGCAGGCGGUUUCUUAAGUCUGAUGUGAAAGCCCCCGGCUCAACCGGGGAGGGUCAUUGGAAACUGGGAAACUUGAGUGCAGAAGAGGAGAGUGGAAUUCCACGUGUAGCGGUGAAAUGCGUAGAGAUGUGGAGGAACACCAGUGGCGAAGGCGACUCUCUGGUCUGUAACUGACGCUGAGGAGCGAAAGCGUGGGGAGCGAACAGGAUUAGAUACCCUGGUAGUCCACGCCGUAAACGAUGAGUGCUAAGUGUUAGGGGGUUUCCGCCCCUUAGUGCUGCAGCUAACGCAUUAAGCACUCCGCCUGGGGAGUACGGUCGCAAGACUGAAACUCAAAGGAAUUGACGGGGGCCCGCACAAGCGGUGGAGCAUGUGGUUUAAUUCGAAGCAACGCGAAGAACCUUACCAGGUCUUGACAUCCUCUGACAGCCCUAGAGAUAGGGCUUUCCCUUCGGGGACAGAGUGACAGGUGGUGCAUGGUUGUCGUCAGCUCGUGUCGUGAGAUGUUGGGUUAAGUCCCGCAACGAGCGCAACCCUUGAUCUUAGUUGCCAGCAUUCAGUUGGGCACUCUAAGGUGACUGCCGGUGACAAACCGGAGGAAGGUGGGGAUGACGUCAAAUCAUCAUGCCCCUUAUGACCUGGGCUACACACGUGCUACAAUGGACAGAACAAAGGGCUGCAAGACCGCAAGGUUUAGCCAAUCCCAUAAAUCUGUU